UAUUGCACAAUGGGGGGAACCCUGAUGCAGCGACGCCGCGUGGGUGAAGAAGCGCCUCGGCGCGUAAAGCCCUGUCAGCAGGGAAGAAAAUGACGGUACCUGAAGAAGAAGCCCCGGCUAACUACGUGCCAGCAGCCGCGGUAAAACGUAGGGGGCAAGCGUUCUCCGGAGUUACUGGGUGUAAAGGGGGCGCCGCCGGCGAUGCAAGCCAGGAGUGAAAGCCCGGGGCCCAACCCCGGGACUGCUCUUGGAACUGCGUGGCUGGAGUGCAGGAGGGGCAGGCGGAAUUCCUGGUGUAGCGGUGAAAUGCGUAGAUAUCAGUAGGAACACCGGUGGCGAAGGCGGCCUGCUGGACUGCAACUGACGUUGAGGCCCGAAAGCGUGGGGAGCAAACAGG
RNAcentral lists this ribosomal RNA (397 nucleotides) under uncultured bacterium. RNAcentral describes it as "bacterial SSU rRNA". It matches the Rfam family "Bacterial small subunit ribosomal RNA", at positions 362 to 776 of the family's 1533-position model. The record is from RNAcentral.